This 327-nucleotide ribosomal RNA is filed under the name uncultured bacterium. RNAcentral describes it as "bacterial SSU rRNA". It matches the Rfam family "Bacterial small subunit ribosomal RNA", at positions 28 to 352 of the family's 1533-position model. The record is from RNAcentral.
GAUGAACGCUAGCGGCAGGCUUAAUACAUGCAAGUCGAACGGGAUUCAGGGUAGCAAUACUUUGAUGAGAGUGGCGCACGGGUGCGUAACGCGUAUGCAACCUACCUUUAACAGGGGAAUAGCCCCAAGAAAUCGGGAUUAAUACUCCGUAACAUUGCGGGAUGGCAUCAUUCUGCAAUUAAAGAUUUAUCGGUUAAAGAUGGGCAUGCGUGACAUUAGCUUGUUGGUGAGGUAACGGCUCACCAAGGCAACGAUGUCUAGGGGUCCUGAGAGGGUUAUCCCCCACACUGGUACUGAGACACGGACCAGACUCCUACGGGAGGCAGC